AACGUUAACAAGUAUCCGAAAUAUAAAGAUCAUAUCCGAAAUUACAAAAACAAAAACAUGAACCACAAAGCAUCAAAAUGAUCAAAUGAUUCAAAUCAAUAACAUCAGUUGCAGAAGGUGAGAAGGAAACGUAAAACAUGAUCCAGAAGCAUCAAAUACAUAACACAUAUUCGACGAUCAAAGAGAAAUGCAUAAAUAAAACACUUCAAACUUCAAAGAGAAAGAGAAAGAAAAGGAGUAACAAAAGAGACGUAAGAUUUCCAGAAUUGUGAGGAGGAGUGACUUGUGACUUGUGUGGCUUGUGAGACGUGAAACUGCAACACAAAAAGAGACUCCACAUAUUUGAAACUGCAACAUGAAGACGAAAUAUACUCAAUUUCAUAUUAAAGCAAAUGAAAACUCUAAUCCCCAAAUCGAUUUCAUUGUUAAAAAAACCCUAAAACCAAUUUCAAAGUUAAGAGAUUCUACAUACUUGAUAUAUUGACAGAAAUUAGUAGUAGAAAGAAAAAAAACAAAAAGGAAAUGAAAUCAGUUUCAUAUUUAAACAAAUGAAAACCCUAACCCCCAAAUCAAUUUUUCACAAUUACAGAGCCAGAUAUAAAAUGGGAAGAGAAGGAGAAGAAGCUUAGUUCUGAUUGAUUUCUCGACGCUGCAGAUGGAGUCGGCGACACGCGAUGGCUUCUGAGAUUUUGAGUUGUUUUAACUUUUAUCGAAGAGAAGAGGAAGAAAUUAAGAGAGGAGAGUGUUUGAAAGAGGAGAAGAUGUUUUUUCAAAAAAAAAAAAAAAAAAAAAAAAAAGAGGAGAAGAGGAAGGAAAGCGUGUAUAAUUU
This 829-nucleotide long non-coding RNA is filed under the name Eutrema salsugineum. Its description in RNAcentral is "long non-coding RNA (ESAL_LNC000700)". Lineage: Eukaryota; Viridiplantae; Streptophyta; Magnoliopsida; Brassicales; Brassicaceae. The record is from RNAcentral.